CGAGCGAACAGACGAGGAGCUUGCUCCUCUGACGUUAGCGGCGGACGGGUGAGUAACACGUGGAUAACCUACCUAUAAGACUGGGAUAACUUCGGGAAACCGGAGCUAAUACCGGAUAAUAUAUUGAACCGCAUGGUUCAAUAGUGAAAGACGGUUUUGCUGUCACUUAUAGAUGGAUCCGCGCCGCAUUAGCUAGUUGGUAAGGUAACGGCUUACCAAGGCAACGAUGCGUAGCCGACCUGAGAGGGUGAUCGGCCACACUGGAACUGAGACACGGUCCAGACUCCUACGGGAGGCAGCAGUAGGGAAUCUUCCGCAAUGGGCGAAAGCCUGACGGAGCAACGCCGCGUGAGUGAUGAAGGUCUUCGGAUCGUAAAACUCUGUUAUUAGGGAAGAACAAAUGUGUAAGUAACUAUGCACGUCUUGACGGUACCUAAUCAGAAAGCCACGGCUAACUACGUGCCAGCAGCCGCGGUAAUACGUA
This 484-nucleotide ribosomal RNA is filed under the name Staphylococcus epidermidis. RNAcentral describes it as "bacterial SSU rRNA". It matches the Rfam family "Bacterial small subunit ribosomal RNA", at positions 63 to 529 of the family's 1533-position model. The record is from RNAcentral. Lineage: Bacteria; Bacillati; Bacillota; Bacilli; Caryophanales; Staphylococcaceae.